ACCCAGCUGACGAAUCCUAAAUAGAACGAAAUGUGCGUUCUGGAU
RNAcentral lists this non-coding RNA (45 nucleotides) under Schistosoma margrebowiei. The record is from RNAcentral. Lineage: Eukaryota; Metazoa; Platyhelminthes; Trematoda; Strigeidida; Schistosomatidae.